Molecule: ribosomal RNA, 253 nt
Filed under: uncultured bacterium
Lineage: Bacteria
Description: partial 16S ribosomal RNA
Rfam family: Bacterial small subunit ribosomal RNA
Source: RNAcentral
UACAGAGGGGGCAAGCGUUGUUCGGAAUUACUGGGCGUAAAGGGCGCGUAGGCGGCCUUCUAAGUCGAACGUGAAAUCCCCGGGCUCAACCCGGGAACUGCGUCCGAGACUGGAAGGCUUGAAUUCGGGAGAGGGAUGCAGAAUUCCAGGUGUAGCGGUGAAAUGCGUAGAUAUCUGGAGGAAUACCGGUGGCGAAGGCGGGUCUCUGGACAGUUCCUGACACUGAGGCACGAAGGCCAGGGGAGCAAACGGG